UUGGACCCCAUCUGACUUUCUAUAAAAACAUCCCCAACCAACCUGUAUAGAAAAUUCCAAGAGGAUUACCACCAUCAACCCAAAAGCCAAGAAUUGAGACUAAGACUGGAGGAACAGCUGCAGAAUUACUCAUCUCUGCCAGUGGCUCUAGGCCUUCUGUUGGACAAGAAAAUUCCUUCAAAUUGUAUCAUCCCUCUCAGCCUCCCAUCAAUUCCUCACUAUGUGUACGAAGACCAAAUGUCCAAAGGCCACAUUCUCAGGUUUUUGCAAAACUUGAAGUUCGGGGGAAAGUAUUCAAUUUACUGAAGUAUGUAAAACAACCCUGAUAGAUAGCUUUUAACUUUUAUGCAACCCUUGACUGUUAUUAAAGUG
This 372-nucleotide long non-coding RNA is filed under the name Mus spicilegus (steppe mouse). RNAcentral describes it as "lncRNA (ENSMSIG00000011946.1)". The record is from RNAcentral. Lineage: Eukaryota; Metazoa; Chordata; Mammalia; Rodentia; Muridae.